Molecule: transfer RNA, 64 nt
Filed under: Cyrtodactylus tebuensis (Tebu Mountain bent-toed gecko)
Lineage: Eukaryota; Metazoa; Chordata; Lepidosauria; Squamata; Gekkonidae
Description: tRNA-Tyr
Source: RNAcentral
AGGUAGGGUGGCCGAGUAGGCGGCGAGUUGUAGCCUCGUGCACGGGAAAUUGCCCCCCAACCAG